UGGCUCAGGAUGAACGCUGGCGGCGUGCUUAACACAUGCAAGUCGAACGGAGUUUUUAACGGAAGUUUCGGAUGGAAGUUUAAGAACUUAGUGGCGGACGGGUGAGUAACGCGUGGGUAACCUGCCUCAUACAGGGGGAUAACAGUUAGAAAUGACCGCUAACACCGCAUAAUAUAGUGAAACCGCAUGAUUUUUGCUAUCAAAUAUUUAUAGGUAUGAGAUGGGCCCGCGUCUGAUUAGCUAGUUGGUGGGGUAAAGCCUACCAAGGCGACGAUCAGUAGCCGGCUUGAGAGAGUGACCGGCCACAUUGGGACUGAGACACGGCCCAAACUCCUACGGGAGGCAGCAGUGGGGAAUAUUGGACAAUGGGGGAAACCCUGAUCCAGCGAACCGCCGCGUGAGUGAAGAAGUAUUUCGGUAUGUAAAGCUCUAUCAGCAGGGAAGAUAAUGACAGUACCUGACUAAGAAGCCCCGGCUAACUACGUGCCAGCAGCGGC
Molecule: ribosomal RNA, 497 nt
Filed under: uncultured bacterium
Lineage: Bacteria
Description: bacterial SSU rRNA
Rfam family: Bacterial small subunit ribosomal RNA
Source: RNAcentral